RNA transcript from Rhincodon typus (whale shark), 4233 nucleotides. It is a transcript of the gene named forkhead box protein O3, with no coding region annotated. The transcript is spliced from 4 exons. NCBI's taxonomy places the organism in Eukaryota, Metazoa, Chordata, Chondrichthyes, Orectolobiformes, Rhincodontidae. The record is from RefSeq and is a predicted model, not a curated record.
GAUGGCUGAUACCGUAGUGGCUGUCCCCAAAGAGAUAAAUCCCAAAGACCUAAAAGAAAAGACCGUGAAGGAGACUGGGAAGAAAGAGAAACAGUAGCGAAGACACGCCAACAAAUAGAACAGAGGAAGAGAAUGGAAAUGAGCACACAGAUGAGAAUGCAGAGGAAGUAGAGGAGGAAGAGGAAGAUGCUGGGGGUGAAGAAUUCAAUCCGCCACAACCUUUCACUGCACAGCAGAUUUAUCAGGGUGCAGAAUGAAGGUACAGGCAAAAGUUCUUGGUGGAUGAUCAAUCCAGAUGGUGGAAAAGGUGGAAAGUCUCCACGAAGACGUGCUGUUUCUAUGGACAAUAGCAACAAAUAUGUAAAAAGCAGGGGAAGAGCAGCAAAAAAAAAGGCAGCUCUGCAAGCUGCACAAGAGGUUAAUGCUGAAAGCCCAUCACAGCACGCAAAAUGGCCUGGUAGCCCAACGUCCCGAAGUAGCGAUGAAUUUGAUGCAUGGACAGACUUUCGUUCUCGUACAAACUCAAAUGCUAGUACUUUGAGUGGGCGUCUUUCUCCUAUAAUAGCCAAUCCUGAACUAGAUCAUGUGCAAGAUGAUGAUGCUGCGCCAUUGUCUCCCAUGCUGUACUCCAGUCCAUCAAGCGUUUCCCCUACUGCAAGUAAACCAUGUUCUGUUGAGCUGCCUAGGUUGACUGACAUGGCUGGAACCAUGAACCUAAAUGAUGGAUUGGCAGAACACCUGAUGGAUGAUUUACUGGAUAAUAUUAGCCUGGGUCCUACUCAGCAGUCAUCACCAGGGGGCCUUGUGCAAAGGAGCUCAAGUUUUACCUAUGGCUCAAAGAGUUCUAGUUUGGGCUCCACAAACAAUUUCAGUAAUUCCAUAUUUGAGCCACCUGCUUUGAAUUCAUUACGUCAGACUCCCAUGCAAACGAUUCAGGAAAACAAGCAAGCUACUUUUUCUUCCAUCUCUCGUUUUGGCAGCCAAACUUUGCAAGAUCUUCUUGCAUCUGAUUCUUUAAGUCACAGUGAUGUCAUGAUGACCCAGACCGAUCCUCUGAUGUCACAGGCGAGCUCAGCAGUGUCUUUACAAAAUUCACAUAGAAAUCUGCUUCACAAUGAUCCAAUGAUGUCAUCCUUCCCCACCCAAUCUAAUGCAGCAAAUCAUAAUCCGCUACAUCGCCAGUCUCCACCUCAGAGUUCUGCACUUAGUGGCGAUAGUGCCUUGUCAAACUCCAUGAAUCAUGUAGCUUUACCAACAGACUCUAACACAAACUCUGGUAAGCAUCAGCUUCAGUCAUCUGCCAAUCAGUCUAUGCAAAUAGGAUUGUCAGACACAUUAUCUGGCCCUCCAUCAUAUCCUGGUAGUAUGAUUCUUCCUGCUAUGGGUCAAGAUAAGUUCCCUAGUGAUCUGGACUUGGAUAUGUUUAAUGGAAGUUUAGACUGUGAUGUGGAAUCCAUCAUUCGCAAUGAACUCAUGGAUGCAGAUGGGUUAGACUUUAACUUUGAUUCUCUUAUAUCCGCCCAGAAUGUUGUGAACCUGAAUGUGGGAACCUUCACUGGUGCUAAACAAACAUCAACACAGAGUUGGGUUCCAGGUUGAAAUUGCCUUAUAAUGGCGGAAGCAGAUUCAGGCUCAGAAUCAACUACUUCACUUUCCAUCUUGACAAGGUUAGUGAACUGAAGACUUUUGCCAAAUCAGGUGUCAAGAUAAUAUGAAUUUGAUUAUAGUAAAUUUAUUCGACAGCUGUAAAUCUGACAUUUCAUCUGCAAAGGCGAUAGUUCUUGGAAUUGCAUAUCAAUACGAAAGAUGUAAACCAGAAGAAUGCGAAGUCAAGUCAAAAUGAAUCCUGAACUGCCUGAAAAGGAAAUUGUUGUAAAGUUUCCCGUGUCCCAUGAUCUUUAACCCUGUAUAAAUUGUUGGUUGAUACGGGUAGGUGCAUACUUUAAGUUUUUAGUAUUUCCUGUCUGAGAUCAGCAUCUGCCCACGGCCUCCAUUGUAUAGCUAUCCUUGAAGUAUUGAUGGAAUGGGACUGAUGAGCAGUGUCAUCAAAGGUAUGAAUAUUGAUGAGGAAAUGAACACAUAUAUACUUACAGAAUAAAACAAGACAAAUUAGCAUCAUCAGAAUGCCAGAAGACUUAUUAUACAGAUGAAGGUUUUUAUCCUUGUUAAUCUGCUAGUCUGCAGUAUUUUAAGUAACUUGAAACUGCAUGAGCUUAAUAGUAUAAGUUGAAGUGUGACUUUGAGCGAACCUUUACAAUUUAUGGCCCUACAUUGUUUGGUCUUUUAUAAUAGUGUCAAGGAACCCAGUUUAGCAGUUGUGUUUCAACAUUACAUUUAACUGGGAAUAAUACUGCUUGUAAAUCUUUGCUUAACUUUACAGACCAAUCUUUUGAACAAAUCUUUAUCUUGAGAGUAAAGUAGUUGGAAGAAAGAGGAGAGACUUUCAUAUGUUUACAAAUUAUCUUGUUCCUAGAAAACAGCCAAAAUUUUCUCUUCUGAAGUAAUCUUUGCAUGAAUUGAGAUCUAAAACGUAUUCACAAGAUUGGAAAAUUUGACCUAUAUACACAUCCAUCAUUGUAGAGAACUUUCUAGGAUGUGCAUCUUUUUAAAGCAAUUUUUAAAAUUUUCUUUCUUACCAUUGACUACAGAUUUAUCUGUUCUAAGGACAAAUCAUAUCAGCAGAUAACAAACUGCCUCCCUUCUGAACAGAGCCCUCAUUGGUCAACUGUAAUGUAGUUUAUUUUCUGUACAUACAUUUACGCUCAAGUUGAUUUGCAUACUGCAUUUCUGUAUUGCAUUUGUACAUUUAUUGAAAGUUUUGUGUAUCUUUGAUCAUGAUUUUGAACAGUUUCUAUAUAAAUACAGACCAGCUCAGAUUACAUCAAUUGAUGCAUAUUUCUUCAAACUUGUGUAAGAUUUUCUCUAUACAAAAGGGUGAUGCACAUUUAUAUUUUAUGGGCAGAGACAAAUCAUCAUUAUGCAUGACUAUUUAGUAGGUAAAUUAGAUUGUCUCAGUUCAUUGCAUGAAAUUCCAGGUUGUCACGCUCAUUGAUGUUAGUGCCCCUGGAGAGCUAGCAGUGAAACAAAACGUGAUGGAAUAUUGUUGUAUAACUUGGCUGUCUCGUUUAAAUGGAUACUAGAUUUUUCAUCAUGCAAUUUACUAUUCUAUUUGUAGAAUGAUAGCAUAUCAAUUAUGGCCACUGAAUUAUUUUCAUCAAAUGUAAAUGAGUUUAAGAUAGUAUAUUCAUUCCAGCUGUUUCUGUUCAGCAUUUUCACUUAAAGUUGUAAUCUUUAAGUAAUUUCUAAAUCAGUAUUUGGAGAUUUCUGCACAAAUCGGUUUUCUUAAAUUUGCAUGGUAGAAUAGCAAUUAAACUGCUUAUGUUCCUGAUAUGCUAUAUUUCGAUCUUACUAAAACUGAAUCAGACACUUAGUGUUAGUUCUCAUCCAGGCUAUAAAAGUUGACAAAUCUCAGGCUAGCGUCUCAGGAUAUGGAGAGAAGGUUCUGCAGGGAUCUACAGUAAUUCACAUUCACACAACUUCUUUAUGAUGCAAGUAUAAUUGUGGAAGUGACAGACCAGUUGAGGGUGUGAAAUAAAAAUAUUUCCACUUUAAACACUUGCAAAAUCAAACUAAUUUUAAAUGUACUUCAUUCUAAUCUGACCUUUUAAAACUCAUGUAUCCAGUUUACUGUUCUGUGCAAGAUUAAAUUUAAUGGCCAAAUUACUACUAUAGCUCGCUGUAACAUGGCUCACAUCAGCUAUCAUCUGCCUCUUGGUUAAAUAUAUUUGGUUUGAGGUACCGUCGAGGAAACUGCAACAGUUCAACUUUCUGAAACAGGCCAUGCAAUACUUUAUUUUUAUGUCCACCCUUCAGUCAAUUCAGCCUGUGUAUGUUAUUCAGAUUUUGUGGUUUUUAGCAUUGGUUAAAACUGUGCUGUGAAUGCCCUAAAUCUUGUUUUUACAAUACAUACUUUGGGUUGCAAGAAGUCUGUAAAACCACUUUAUAUUGAGAAAAGGUAUAUUGUGUAAUGAGACAGUUGAAUAUACUAUCUUCUCCUCUUAUACCCCCAAACCCCAAAAUAAAAUGUUAGUUUUAACAGGAAAAGAAUGGUUCUUUUGAACUGCAGGUUUUUAAUUGCAUAAAUUAUUCGUAUGUAAUGCCCUGUGUAUUUCAUUAAUCUGUGCUCUAAGAGAAGAGUGCGCAUGUAAAAUAAAGCUUGGUAACACUAUUGAA